This 795-nucleotide ribosomal RNA is filed under the name uncultured archaeon. RNAcentral describes it as "bacterial SSU rRNA". It matches the Rfam family "Archaeal small subunit ribosomal RNA", at positions 59 to 859 of the family's 1478-position model. The record is from RNAcentral.
CGAAUGUAGCAAUACAUGGCGAACUGCUCAGUAACACGUGGACAACCUGCNNNNAGGACGGGGAUAAACCCGGGAAACUGGGUAUAAUACCCGAUAGGUCUCGAUUGCUGGAAUGCAUCGAGAUUUAAAGCUCCGGCGCCUAAGGAUAGGUCUGCGGCCUAUCAGGUAGUAGUGGGUGUAGCGUACCUACUAGCCUACGACGGGUACGGGUUGUGAGAGCAAGAGCCCGGAGAUGGAUUCUGAGACACGAAUCCAGGCCCUACGGGGUGCAGCAGGCGCGAAAACUUUACAAUGCUGGCAACAGCGAUAAGGGAACCUCGAGUGCCAGGUUACAAAUCUGGCUGUCGAGAUGCCUAAAAAGCAUUUCAUAGCAAGGGCCGGGCAAGACCGGUGCCAGCCGCCGCGGUAACACCGGCGGCUCGAGUGGUAACCGUUAUUAUUGGGUCUAAAGGGUCUGUAGCCGGCCGGAUAAGUCUCUUGAGAAAUCUGGCAGCUUAACUGUCAGGCUUUCAGGAGAUACUGUCUGGCUCGAGGCCGGGAGAGGUGAGAGGUACUUCAGGGGUAGGGGUGAAAUCUUGUAAUCCUUGAAGGACCACCAGUGGCGAAGGCGUCUCACCAGAACGGACCUGACGGCAAGGGACGAAAGCUAGGGGCACGAACCGGAUUAGAUACCCGGGUAGUCCUAGCCGUAAACGAUACUCGCUAGGUGUCGGCCACGGUGCGACCGUUGUCGGUGCCGUAGGGAAGCCGUGAAGCGAGCCACCUGGGAAGUACGGCCGCAAGGCUGAAACUUAA